UGGGCUGUCUGCAGAGCCCAUAUAUGCUACUACGAAGUUUCAGCAUGCAACAGUCCUAAAAACAUAAUGUCCACAGGGAGUGAACACUGCAUUUCGACUGUAUACAGCCUGACUAGGACCACAGACUAUUCAUGUGUUUCCCAAGCAACUACCUACUGACAAGCAAUUACAUCCAAUUUCUUAAUAGCAGAAAGCGGGAGGACUAUUCCUGCAUGAAAAAGCCCAGGAUCAUCUGGAGGCUUCGUAAGACCCUUGAAGUCACUUGACCUCCUACUUUGCUGUGGCUCACCUUCCACAACUCACAGAAAUGAAUGUACUUCAGCAAAGAUUAUUAUUCAUUCCUUCAAACCCACCUCCACUUCUAUUUUGCUUGCUGUGCUGACAACAUACAGAUCUCUACAAAGCUACUAUUCUGGCCAUUGAGCAUGAAGUUGCUGCACUUAUGAACUCAAAAACCAUCAAUCAGUUUGAGAACCUAGACGUUCAAAGCAUAAAUGGGAUUCUGGAUAUGCAAAUGAAGAACAAUAACAAGUUGAUUAGUUAAUUAAUAUUUCUUCACAGGAUAAGUUGAGUACAGAAUGUGUUAGACAAAAAUCAUUUUGGAGAAAGGCAGGGUAUAGAUAAAGAUUUCUUCAUACUGAGCAGGAAAAGAAAACAUUUUCAACAGUAUAAAGUCAACAUUAAAACAAUAUUUUAAUAAAAUCAUAGAAUGGUUUGAAUUGGAAUGAAACCAAGAUUAUCUAAUUCCAACUCCCCUGCCACGGACAGGGACACCUUUCUGCAGAAUUUACUUCCAAAAACAGGUUUUCACAGUUGCCAAAAAUAAAAAGUACACUCUAUGGCUAUAGAAGAAACACUGUGUGUUCAGCCUGCUCUGCCAACUAAGCUGAUACUCCAAACCUUCAAGGGCCUCAGAAAAUUAACAUAGCAAAUACAACUACUUACGUUUGUCACAGGCAAAAAAGUGGCAUGAUGACCAACAGUUGGUGUGAACGGUCAAUAGCUGGAAGUCACUUUAACUCGCUUUGCUACAGGUAUCAGAUAUAAUAAAGAUCUCGGUUCUAUAAACACAUAGAAGGGCCCUGGAAUUUCCAUAUCAGUCAUAAAUGAUGCCCGAUGAGAAUUAUCACAAAAAUAGAGAAAAUAGCCUUUUUUUUCUUCUUCCAUGUUUUGUGUUUUGUUUAAUUACAACCUUCUCUUCUGAAAUAGAAGAUAUUUCAGAUAUUUAAGACACUUAACAUAUCACACAGUGACACAAGAUUCAAUAACAUUUUUCAGAGAAGAUAGCAAGCAUCUAUGUGGUAGAUGCAUGCUGCAUACAGAGCAGGAAAAUCUGCAAUUUCAAACAAAUGUGAAAAUUAGAGCUUCUCAAGCGAAGCUGAGACCUAGAACACAGAUGCUUAGCAUACACAUCAGCAUGACUGCACAGCACAGACCUCAAUGCAUGCAUCCUAUACUGUCUGUUGGAUUCAUCAGAAAAAAUGUGUUAUCUACACUUUAAUAACUCACAUUAAAAACAAAGGAAAGAAAGGAAACAUGACAAGUAUCAUGAGCAGCUCCAACAGGCUGUGAGAGCUCCUCAAAUGGAAAGGUCAUGUAGGAAAGAACAGCUGUUUCAAAAAGAAUAUAGAAACUGAGUUUAUCAAAAGUUUACAUGUCUAGAGAUAGUCAAGAAGUCUAUGAAAAGCAAAACUGCUUUUUCUGGACACAUCUCAUAAUGUUGUUUGGUCAGUGAUGACAAAAAUAAUUCUGAGGGUUCUAACGAAACUAAACAGAAAGAACAGUAGUUCAUCAAUAUAUAAACCAUCAAUUAGAGUUCCAUAUUAGCACUGUUGUGCUAAUAAGGUAUCUAAGAGGUAUCUAAAAAUCAGUUUCAGGAGUAGAAAGGGCUCACUGCUUAGGGCUUUUGUUGAGAGCAAGCCCAUGUAGUGCAGUUUGCACAAGAAGUCUAAAUGCUUGCAGAAUAUUAACAGUGAAUACAGCAUUUAAAACCAAACAUUUGUUCCAUGCAAACAGAAGAUAGACGUCCAAUGCUUACUUCCCUUUGGAAGCCCAGCAAGCCCACAGCCACAUGUCACCUGGUUUCUGGAAGGCGUUUUAAGAAUAAUUGCUACUUUGGCUUUGUUUAUUUAAAAGAGAGUAGUUUAGAGUUUUCAUUUGAAUAUAAACUUCAAAAUGAAAAUUAAUCACAGGGUUCAUAAGACUAUGAAGACUAUUUUUCCUGAAAAUUAUUGUGUAUUCAUGGUUUCCCUCACACCCUGUUAACUUAAGUUGCUUAUUCAAGAUGGAGGUUAACAAAUAAUCUCCAGGGACACCCCAGUAUUUAAAGGUCAUUUGAGAAUAUCUGAUUGGAAUGACUAUAACUGAGAUUAGUUCUCUACUGCAAGAAAUAAAAUGAAAAGGGCAAGUUGUUCAGGAAUAUAAAGGAGAAAAGCCAGACAGUAUUUGCCUUAUUUCUACACAAAGCAGUGCAGACUCUCUUAAGUACUGAUGUAGAGAAUCUGUGAGAAUUAUUAGAGUAAACGAUAGCUUUUAGAUCAAUUUUGCUCUCAUUCACAACCUAUAUUUAAGGUUUGUUCCACUGCUUUUAGAAGUGUUUUUUGUUUUGUGUUGUUGGGUGUUUUUUUGUUUGUUUGUUUUUUGAAAUAUUAGAAGAGGCUGCACUUACAAACCUCUUAUAAAGAAAGAUUUUUAUGAGUAAUUCCAGUCACCAUGAGGAAAUGAGAAUGUGCAUAAUGUAAUAUAUGGCUACGCUUAUAUACUAUAAAGCCUGAACAAAUAAGCUGUUAAUUUUGUUAAUUUUUCUCUUGCAUCCAUUUUUUUUGUGGGAAGGCAAAUGUUCUGUCAGCUAUUAUCUUGAGAAAAAUUGUAAUUGAUAGGUUCAUUUUCAUUUAUGCCUAAGGAAUUUUCACAUUAUUGUAAGCUGGAAAAUAUUAGAUAAUUAACACUGGUGAUAAAACUGCAUUCACACUGAU
This 2975-nucleotide long non-coding RNA is filed under the name Gallus gallus (chicken). Lineage: Eukaryota; Metazoa; Chordata; Aves; Galliformes; Phasianidae. The record is from RNAcentral.